RNAcentral lists this ribosomal RNA (490 nucleotides) under uncultured bacterium. Its description in RNAcentral is "partial 16S ribosomal RNA". It matches the Rfam family "Bacterial small subunit ribosomal RNA", at positions 30 to 507 of the family's 1533-position model. The record is from RNAcentral.
AUUGAACGCUGGCGGCAGGCCUAACACAUGCAAGUCGAACGGUAACAGGAAGCAGCUUGCUGCUUCGCUGACGAGUGGCGGACGGGUGAGUAAUGUCUGGGAAACUGCCUGAUGGGGGGGGAUAACUACUGGAAACGGUAGCUAAUACCGCAUAACGUCGCAAGACCAAAGAGGGGGACCUUAGGGCCUCUUGCCAUCGGAUGUGCCCAGAUGGGAUUAGCUAGUAGGUGGGGUAACGGCUCACCUAGGCGACGAUCCCUAGCUGGUCUGAGAGGAUGACCAGCCACACUGGAACUGAGACACGGUCCAGACUCCUACGGGAGGCAGCAGUGGGGAAUAUUGCACAAUGGGCGCAAGCCUGAUGCAGCCAUGCCGCGUGUAUGAAGAAGGCCUUCGGGUUGUAAAGUACUUUCAGCGGGGAGGAAGGGAGUAAAGUUAAUACCUUUGCUCAUUGACGUUACCCGCAGAAGAAGCACCUGCUAACUCCGUG